UCAUCAGUAUCUGUCAUUUGGUGUCAGAAAUAGUGCCUGUCUUAGUCACAUUUCCAGUGCUGGGAUAAAAUGUCUGAUGUUCACAAUUUACUUCUAUUUCUUUCUCUUUUUUUUUGGUGCCAGGGAUUGAACUCAGGACCUCACACUUACCAAGCAGGUGCUGUCCCUCUAACUUAUAUUCCUGGCAUGACACAAUUAAAAGGAGAGGUUUGGCUCACAGUUUCCAUGAGUUCAGUCCAAUGGCUGACUCCAAAGCCGAAAUGGCCUGGUGGAAGGGUACGGCGGAGGACAGCUGCUCAUCCACUGGGGCAGGAAGCAGAGAGAGGAGGGAGGAGGAGCCAGGGGCAAGACUAUAACCUUCCAGUUCGUGCUCCCAGUGACUACCUCUGACCAGAUCUUGCUGCCGAGCAAUACAUUCAGCUAUGGACUCAGCAAUGGACGAACCUACCGGUCUGGAGUCAUUAAGCAAGGAUUAGCUGGAUAAACAGAGGAAGUGAUUUUUAAACUGUUUGCAAACUUAAUGUGAAGAGCCCAGCCUUGCAAAUUAUCACGUCUAAUCAAAGGCCCUCGCUUCACUGCUCUAGUAAUUGUACUGGUAUUAGUCAAAUUCUUGUUGUCUCCUCAUUAGCCGUGGAAAGGAGACUCAAGACGUACUUCAUUAGAGUGUCCUGGAAAUAUAUUGCUAAUGCAGAGGUGGGGGAGGGGUGGGAGGCGAGGAGAUGGGACCAGAGCGUGUAACAUCCAUAUCUGACACCAUGGACACCACCUCUCUCAGCGUCCGUGUCACAGAGGCCCCAUCCUUUACCUGAAGAGGCACCUAGGUGGCCGAGGCAGGACCAGCGACCCAGAGCUAUGAGACCCAUCUGCUGCACCGCACCCUCACCAUCCCUUCCUUCUCUGGGCUCCGAUCUUGCGGGGGGCACAAGGAGGGUGGAAGAGCUGGAGUCUGAGGGUCCUUCCUGCCUGAGUUCUCGGCCUGUGGUCCUAAGCAUUGAGGCUUUGGUCACAAUGAGCGCGUGUUGUUUGCUUGAUUCCUAGGGCUUAGACUCCCCCAGGGCUGGGCUCCAUCGUAAGGCAGGCAUAAGCCAGAUGCCGGUCUGUGGCCACCCUUGCUGCGGUCUGACAGGAGGAUGAGUCCAUCCACCACUUAAGUCCAUUCCUAUGUGGAGUCCAAAAUGCAGAUCUUGCGGAAGCUGAAAGAGAAAUGGUGGUUACCAGAGGCUGGGGAGAGAGGAUGGAGAAUGGAGAGAGUUGGUCAAGGGGUGCAAUAUUGUGGUUAGACAGGGAGGGGGUGUAAGUUCUGGGGUUCUGCUCAGUAGGGUGAGGAUAGUUUAAGGAAUUGAUAAAUCCUUAAGGCAAUGGAUUGAUUACCCUUACUUGAUUGUUGCACAAUGUAUACAGACAGAAACAUCACACUCUACGUCACAAACAUGUACAAUUUUUAUGUGUCCCAUCAAAACUACAGAAAAGGAGUGGGUGUAUCAGCAUACUCUUUUUUCCUUGCUUUCUAUUUAUGGAAUGUCUAGUCUGGUAGCUAAAGUUUAAAUUCAUUGAAAUAAAAUAAAAUUAAGAAAUCA
This is a long non-coding RNA of Cavia porcellus (domestic guinea pig), 1577 nucleotides long. RefSeq lists it as uncharacterized. The transcript is spliced from 2 exons. The record is from RefSeq and is a predicted model, not a curated record. Lineage: Eukaryota; Metazoa; Chordata; Mammalia; Rodentia; Caviidae.